AACGAACGCUGGCGGCAGGCCUAACACAUGCAAGUCGAGCGCGCCCUUCGGGGUGAGCGGCGGACGGGUGAGUAACGCGUGGGAACGUGCCCUUUUCUACGGAAUAGCCUCGGGAAACUGAGAGUAAUACCGUAUACGCCCUUUGGGGGAAAGAUUUAUCGGAAAAGGAUCGGCCCGCGUUGGAUUAGGUAGUUGGUGGGGUAAUGGCCUACCAAGCCGACGAGCCAUAGCUGGUUUGAGAGGAUGAUCAGCCACACUGGGACUGAGACACGGCCCAGACUCCUACGGGAGGCAGCAGUGGGGAAUCUUAGACAAUGGGGGCAACCCUGAUCUAGCCAUGCCGCGUGAGUGAUGAAGGCCUUAGGGUUGUAAAGCUCUUUCAGCUGGGAAGAUAAUGACGGUACCAGCAGAAGAAGCCCCGGCUAACUCCGUG
RNAcentral lists this ribosomal RNA (433 nucleotides) under uncultured bacterium. Its description in RNAcentral is "partial 16S ribosomal RNA". It matches the Rfam family "Bacterial small subunit ribosomal RNA", at positions 29 to 507 of the family's 1533-position model. The record is from RNAcentral.